Molecule: microRNA precursor, 60 nt
Filed under: Columba livia (rock pigeon)
Lineage: Eukaryota; Metazoa; Chordata; Aves; Columbiformes; Columbidae
Also listed under: 1 other name
Description: Cli-Mir-19-P2c_pre stem-loop
Rfam family: mir-19 microRNA precursor family
About the family: The hairpin precursors (represented here) are predicted based on base pairing and cross-species conservation -- their extents are not known.
Source: RNAcentral
AGUUUUGCAGGUUUGCAUCCCAGCUUACUAAAAUUGCUGUGCAAAUCCAUGCAAAACUGA